RNAcentral lists this ribosomal RNA (262 nucleotides) under uncultured archaeon. Its description in RNAcentral is "partial 16S ribosomal RNA". It matches the Rfam family "Archaeal small subunit ribosomal RNA", at positions 748 to 1008 of the family's 1478-position model. The record is from RNAcentral.
CAGCCGUAAACUAUGCGCGUUAGGUGUACUGGUGACCACGAGUCACCGGGGUGCCGAAGGGAAACCGUGAAACGUGCCGCCUGGGAAGUACGGUCGCAAGGCUGAAACUUAAAGGAAUUUGGCGGGGGAGCACCACAACGGGUGGAGCCUGCGGUUUAAUUGGACUCAACGCCGGAAAUCUCACCGGAUAGGACAGACAUAUGAUAGUCGGGCUGAAGACUCUACUUGAUGAUCUGAGAGGUGGUGCAUGGCGUCAGUGACU